GCGGUGUCGGCGUGCUUGUAUUUGCGGGAGGGAAUUAUCUGGGGGUGCUGGGUAGCCGGGAAGACUUGGACGGAUCUGGCCCGGGAAUGGGUCUGGGCCUGGAUUCUGGUGUGGUGUAGGGUAGGCGUAGAUAGAUGAGUGGUCUAGGGUAGAUACAGGGUAGCCAGAAGUCUAGUAUAUAGUAUGGGGGUUGUAGGGUA
RNAcentral lists this unclassified non-coding RNA (200 nucleotides) under Fusarium oxysporum. RNAcentral describes it as "partial contains 28S ribosomal RNA, 28S-18S ribosomal RNA intergenic spacer, and 18S ribosomal RNA". Lineage: Eukaryota; Fungi; Ascomycota; Sordariomycetes; Hypocreales; Nectriaceae. The record is from RNAcentral.